GAGUGGGGGAUAACGUAGCGAAAGUUACGCUAAUACCGCAUACGAUCUAAGGAUGAAAGUGGGGGAUCGCAAGACCUCAUGCUCGUGGAGCGGCCGAUAUCUGAUUAGCUAGUUGGUAGGGUAAAAGCCUACCAAGGCAUCGAUCAGUAGCUGGUCUGAGAGGACGACCAGCCACACUGGAACUGAGACACGGUCCAGACUCCUACGGGAGGCAGCAGUGGGGAAUUUUGGACAAUGGGCGAAAGCCUGAUCCAGCAAUGCCGCGUGAGUGAAGAAGGCCUUCGGGUUGUAAAGCUCUUUUGUCAGGGAAGAAACGGUGAGAGCUAAUAUCUCUUGCUAAUGACGGUACCUGAAGAAUAAGCACCGGCUAACUACGUGCCAGCAGCCGCGGUAAUACGUAGGGUGCAAGCGUUAAUCGGAAUUACUGGGCGUAAAGCGUGCGCAGGCGGUUUUGUAAGUCUGAUGUGAAAUCCCCGGGCUCAACCUGGGAAUUGCAUUGGAGACUGCAAGGCUAGAAUCUGGCAGAGGGGGGUAGAAUUCCACGUGUAGCAGUGAAAUGCGUAGAUAUGUGGAGGAACACCGAUGGCGAAGGCAGCCCCCUGGGUCAAGAUUGACGCUCAUGCACGAAAGCGUGGGGAGCAAACAGGAUUAGAUACCCUGGUAGUCCACGCCCUAAACGAUGUCUACUAGUUGUCGGGUCUUAAUUGACUUGGUAACGCAGCUAACGCGUGAAGUAGACCGCCUGGGGAGUACGGUCGCAAGAUUAAAACUCAAAGGAAUUGACGGGGACCCGCACAAGCGGUGGAUGAUGUGGAUUAAUUCGAUGCAACGCGAAAAACCUUACCUACCCUUGACAUGGCUGGAAUCC
This 868-nucleotide ribosomal RNA is filed under the name Janthinobacterium sp. NKUCC08_JDC. RNAcentral's name for it is "bacterial SSU rRNA". It matches the Rfam family "Bacterial small subunit ribosomal RNA", at positions 134 to 998 of the family's 1533-position model. The record is from RNAcentral. Lineage: Bacteria; Pseudomonadati; Pseudomonadota; Betaproteobacteria; Burkholderiales; Oxalobacteraceae.